This 621-nucleotide ribosomal RNA is filed under the name Salmonella enterica subsp. enterica serovar Weltevreden. RNAcentral describes it as "partial 23S ribosomal RNA". It matches the Rfam family "Bacterial large subunit ribosomal RNA", at positions 140 to 687 of the family's 2925-position model. Lineage: Bacteria; Pseudomonadati; Pseudomonadota; Gammaproteobacteria; Enterobacterales; Enterobacteriaceae. The record is from RNAcentral.
UCGUCACACUAUCAUUAACUGAAUCCAUAGGUUAAUGAGGCGAACCGGGGGAACUGAAACAUCUAAGUACCCCGAGGAAAAGAAAUCAACCGAGAUUCCCCCAGUAGCGGCGAGCGAACGGGGAGGAGCCCAGAGCCUGAAUCAGCAUGUGUGUUAGUGGAAGCGUCUGGAAAGGCGCGCGAUACAGGGUGACAGCCCCGUACACAAAAGCGCAUGUGCUGUGAGCUCGAUGAGUAGGGCGGGACACGUGGUAUCCUGUCUGAAUAUGGGGGGACCAUCCUCCAAGGCUAAAUACUCCUGACUGACCGAUAGUGAACCAGUACCGUGAGGGAAAGGCGAAAAGAACCCCGGCGAGGGGAGUGAAAAAGAACCUGAAACCGUGUACGUACAAGCAGUGGGAGCCCCACCACCAAAGCGUUUCGCUUUGUGUGGUGCACAAAGAAGCGUAACGACAGCACUGAAUGACGGUUAACGGAGCGCAAGCGACGUUCAACAUACAAAGUCAAGCAGUGGAGCGCUUUGGGGUGGGGUGACUGCGUACCUUUUGUAUAAUGGGUCAGCGACUUAUAUUCUGUAGCAAGGUUAACCGAAUAGGGGAGCCGGAGGGAAACCGAGUCUUAA